GUAGGUGGCAAGCGUUGCCGGGAAUUAUUGGGGCGUAAAGCGCGCGCAGGCGGUUCUUUAAGUCUGAUGUGAAAGCCCGCGGGCUCAACCGUGGAGGGUCAUUGGAAACUGGAGAACUUGAGUACAGAAGAGGAAAGCGGAAUUCCACGUGUAGCGGUGAAAUGCGUAGAGAUGUGGAGGAACACCAGUGGCGAAGGCGGCUUUCUGGUCUGUAACUGACGCUGAGGCGCGAAAGCGUGGGGAGCAAACAGGAUUAGAUACCCUGGUAGUCCACGCCGUAAACGAUGAGUGCUAAGUGUUAGGGGGUUUCCGCCCCUUAGUGCUGCAGCUAACGCAUUAAGCACUCCGCCUGGGGAGUACGGCCGCAAAGGCUGA
Molecule: ribosomal RNA, 375 nt
Filed under: uncultured organism
Description: partial 16S ribosomal RNA
Rfam family: Bacterial small subunit ribosomal RNA
Source: RNAcentral